Long non-coding RNA from Oryzias melastigma (Indian medaka), 427 nucleotides. RefSeq lists it as uncharacterized. The record is from RefSeq and is a predicted model, not a curated record. Lineage: Eukaryota; Metazoa; Chordata; Actinopteri; Beloniformes; Adrianichthyidae. The transcript is spliced from 3 exons.
AGGAAGUCCCGUUUUUCUUUGAGAAGUGCUUCUGAUGUUCAAACUGCUCUCUGCCGUGUCUUAACAGCUCUCCAAAACCUCAGAAACCAAAGCUUUAUAUGAGACCAAGUCUUUCAUACAUGGGAAAAGAGCUGUGAAUCUAAAAGCCUGGAUGAAGAUUUGUGAGAUUUGCACCUCUUCCAACUGAGAGUACACACUCUAGAAUCAGACACAUUGCUUAAAAUCACCUUCCUACCAAAUCAAACUCACCUUUAGUCGUGCAGUGAGAAAGCCUUCCUGCAGAACCACACCAUCAUCCCCUUCUCUCCCCACUUGGCCCCCUCCAGACUCGUGGGCACGUCUUGAAGGCCGAACAUGGUUGUACUGACACUGGAGGAUGAGACGAGAACACAAAGCCAGAACUAAUUAAAUUAGGCAAACUUCUGCC